RNAcentral lists this ribosomal RNA (207 nucleotides) under uncultured bacterium. RNAcentral's name for it is "partial 16S ribosomal RNA". It matches the Rfam family "Bacterial small subunit ribosomal RNA", at positions 568 to 774 of the family's 1533-position model. The record is from RNAcentral.
CACGUAGGCGGAUAUUUAAGUCAGGGGUGAAAUCCCGGGGCUCAACCUCGGAAUUGCCUUUGAUACUGGGUGUCUUGAGUAUGAGAGAGGUGUGUGGAACUCCGAGUGUAGAGGUGGAAUUCGUAGAUAUUCGGAGGAACACCAGUGGCGAAGGCGGCUUACUGGUCCAUUACUGACGCUGAGGUGCGAAAGCGUGGGGAGCAAACA